Molecule: ribosomal RNA, 722 nt
Filed under: uncultured bacterium
Lineage: Bacteria
Description: bacterial SSU rRNA
Rfam family: Bacterial small subunit ribosomal RNA
Source: RNAcentral
UAAUACAUGCAAGUCGAGGGGCAGCAGCAGUGUAGCAAUACAUGGGCGGCGACCGGCAAACGGGUGCGGAACACGUACACAACCUUCCUUUAAAUGGGGAAUAGCCCAGGGAAACUUGGAUUAAUACCCCGUAAUAUUAUAGAGUGGCAUCACUUUGUAAUUAUAGCUACGGCGUCUAAAGAUGGGUGUGCGGCUGAUUAGGUAGUUGGCGGGGUAACGGCCCACCAAGCCUUCGAUCAGUAACUGGUGUGAGAGCACGACCAGUCACACGGGCACUGAGACACGGGCCCGACUCCUACGGGAGGCAGCAGUAAGGAAUAUUGGGCAAUGGACGCAAGUCUGACCCAGCCAUGCCGCGUGGAGGAUGAAGGUCCUCUGGAUUGUAAACUUCUUUUCUCUGGGGCGAAAAACAGGUUUUCUAACUUGCUUGACAGUACCAGAGGAAUAAGCACCGGCUAACUCCGUGCCAGCAGCCGCGGUAAUACGGAGGGUGCAAGCGUUAUCCGGAUUCACUGGGUUUAAAGGGUGCGUAGGUGGGUUGGUAAGUCAGUGGUGAAAUCUCCGGGCUUAACCUGGAAACUGCCAUUGAUACUAUCAAUCUUGAAUACCUUGGAGGUGAGCGGAAUAUGUCAUGUAGCGGUGAAAUGCUUAGAUAUGACAUAGAACACCAAUUGCGAAGGCAGCUCACUACACGGUCAUUGACACUGAGGCACGAAAGCGUG